This 468-nucleotide ribosomal RNA is filed under the name uncultured bacterium. RNAcentral's name for it is "partial 16S ribosomal RNA". It matches the Rfam family "Bacterial small subunit ribosomal RNA", at positions 28 to 507 of the family's 1533-position model. The record is from RNAcentral.
GACGAACGCUGGCGGCGCGCCUAACACAUGCAAGUCGAACGGAGUCACGAGGAGCUUGCUUUUCUUGACUUAGUGGCGAACGGGUGAGUAACGCGUGAGUAACCUGCCCUGGAGUGGGGGACAACAGUUGGAAACGACUGCUAAUACCGCAUAAGCCCACGGAUCCGCAUGGAUCUGCGGGAAAAGGAUUUAUUCGCUUCAGGAUGGACUCGCGUCCAAUUAGCUAGUUGGUGAGGUAACGGCCCACCAAGGCGACGAUUGGUAGCCGGACUGAGAGGUUGAACGGCCACAUUGGGACUGAGACACGGCCCAGACUCCUACGGGAGGAAGAAGUGGGGGAUAUUGCACAAUGGGGGAAACCCUGAUGCAGCGACGCCGCGUGGAGGAAGAAGGUUUUCGGAUUGUAAACUCCUGUCGUUAGGGACGAUAAUGACGGUACCUAACAAGAAAGCACCGGCUAACUACGUG